AAAGCAUGAAUGAGGAAUUUCACUCUGCCCCACUAACUGUUGCAAUAGCUGACAGAAUGUACUGACACGAAGGCGUGUUCGUGACAAGCCUGCAGCGCUGCAGUAUGUGAAGGCGUGCUGCUGCUCUGCCCUACGAGCUUCUCUAAGACUGAGACGCAGUGGCACUUCCUCCUGCCCCCCUCCUGCUAAAGCACGAUAUACCCGUCCAGCAAGGUGUUUGGCAGCAUGGAAGCCGGCUCUUACCCGCUGUAUCAUAGAGGUUCAAGACGAUUUCUC
Molecule: long non-coding RNA, 276 nt
Organism: Anguilla anguilla (European eel)
Lineage: Eukaryota; Metazoa; Chordata; Actinopteri; Anguilliformes; Anguillidae
Exons: 3
Source: RefSeq, a predicted model, not a curated record